This 533-nucleotide ribosomal RNA is filed under the name uncultured bacterium. RNAcentral describes it as "bacterial SSU rRNA". It matches the Rfam family "Bacterial small subunit ribosomal RNA", at positions 777 to 1304 of the family's 1533-position model. The record is from RNAcentral.
AAUAGAUACCCUGGUAGUCCACGCCGUAAACGGUGGGCACUAGGUGUGGGCGACAUUCCACGUCGUCCGUGCCGCAGCUAACGCAUUAAGUGCCCCGCCUGGGGAGUACGGCCGCAAGGCUAAACUCAAAGGAAUUGACGGGGGCCCGCACAAGCGGCGGAGCAUGUGGCUUAAUUCGACGCAACGCGAAGAACCUUACCAAGGCUUGACAUACACCGGAAAACCCUGGAGACAGGGUCCCCCUUGUGGUCGGUGUACAGGUGGUGCAUGGCUGUCGUCAGCUCGUGUCGUGAGAUGUUGGGUUAAGUCCCGCAACGAGCGCAACCCUUGUCCCGUGUUGCCAGCAGGCCCUUGUGGUGCUGGGGACUCACGGGAGACCGCCGGGGUCAACUCGGAGGAAGGUGAGGACGACGUCAAGUCAUCAUGCCCCUUAUGUCUUGGGCUGCACACGUGCUACAAUGGCCGGUACAAUGAGCUGCGAUACCGCGAGGUGGAGCGAAUCUCAAAAAGCCGGUCUCAGUUCGGAUUGGGGU